GACGUAGGGCGCGAGCGUUGUCCGGAUUUAUUGGGCGUAAAGAGCUCGUAGGCGGCUUGUCGCGUCGACUGUGAAAUCCCGAGGCUCAACUUCGGGCUUGCAGUCGAUACGGGCAGGCUAGAGUUCGGUAGGGGGAGACUGGAAUUCCUGGUGUAGCGGUGAAAUGCGCAGAUAUCAGGAGGAACACCGAUGGCGAAGGCAGGUCUCUGGGCCGAUACUGACGCUGAGGAGCGAAAGCGUGGGGAGCGAACAGG
Molecule: ribosomal RNA, 254 nt
Filed under: uncultured bacterium
Lineage: Bacteria
Description: partial 16S ribosomal RNA
Rfam family: Bacterial small subunit ribosomal RNA
Source: RNAcentral